RNAcentral lists this transfer RNA (61 nucleotides) under Cicadella viridis. Its description in RNAcentral is "tRNA-Phe". The record is from RNAcentral. Lineage: Eukaryota; Metazoa; Arthropoda; Insecta; Hemiptera; Cicadellidae.
UAUCAUCAGGUAAAACCACCUUAAUAUCUUCAGUAUUAAGCUCUAAUUAAGCUAUAAUGAU